GACGAACGCUGGCGGCGUGCUUAACACAUGCAAGUCGAACGGAAAGGCCCUGCUUUUGUGGGGUGCUCGAGUGGCGAACGGGUGAGUAACACGUGAGUAACCUGCCCUUGACUUUGGGAUAACUUCAGGAAACUGGGGCUAAUACCGGAUAGGAGCUCCUGCUGCAUGGUGGGGGUUGGAAAGUUUCGGCGGUUGGGGAUGGACUCGCGGCUUAUCAGCUUUUUGGUGGGGUAGUGGCUUACCAAGGCUUUGACGGGUAGCCGGCCUGAGAGGGUGACCGGCCAUAUUAGGACUGAGGUACGGCCCAGCCUGCUACGGGAGGUCGCAGUGGGAGAUAUUGCACAAUGGGCGGAAGCCUGACGGAGCAACGCCGCGCGCGGGAUGACGGCCCUCGGGUUGUAACCCGCGUUCGCCUGUGACGAAGCGUGGGUGACGGUACUGGGUAAAGAAGCACCCGCUAACUACGUG
This 468-nucleotide ribosomal RNA is filed under the name uncultured bacterium. Its description in RNAcentral is "partial 16S ribosomal RNA". It matches the Rfam family "Bacterial small subunit ribosomal RNA", at positions 28 to 507 of the family's 1533-position model. The record is from RNAcentral.